This is a long non-coding RNA of Schistocerca piceifrons (Central American locust), 248 nucleotides long. RefSeq lists it as uncharacterized. The transcript is spliced from 3 exons. The record is from RefSeq and is a predicted model, not a curated record. NCBI's taxonomy places the organism in Eukaryota, Metazoa, Arthropoda, Insecta, Orthoptera, Acrididae.
CCGGCAUGGCUCGCUGCCUGCGCCACAUCGGCGGCUGAUGUCGGCAUGGGUUACGGCCCUGGCGGUGGAGAUGACGCAGACAGCGACGAGCGCCGUGAGACUGUCAGGUGGACGCGACAGCUGCGAGAUGCGUGAGCCCGCGGCCACGCACCGCGCCGACUGCGGCUAGAGCCAUGCCACGCACAGACUGGGCUGCGUGGAGCCAUGUGGAGCAGAUCACCAGAACGGGGACUCCCCGCGGCUCGCAG